CCAUGUCAUGUCACCAUGCUCUUUGUGUUCCUGUUUAUAGGAGAAAGAGACAGAAUGUUGGAAUUUGCAUUUUUCCAUAGGGCUAUCUUGUGUCAGUGGCAGCUACCCCAUUUCCCUCCACAAUUUUCAGGUUAUAGGAUUCAGAUAGGGUGGGAAUGGGGAUUGUGACUUUUCAGUGCUGGAAAGUUUGGUGAAUAAAACAUAUGGGAUUAUUUAGAUAUUAAAAAACCGUUCCUCCCCUGAUUUUUGAGGCCUAUAAAGAAGAGCCCAAUUCAGCCAUGAGCCUUAAAUACAUUGGGUUGAACCAUACGAAAUUGCUGGGUUUUGUGUGUCAAUACAAUGGCAGUCAAAUAUCAACCACUUCCUCAUUUCGACCUAAUGAGAUGUGUAUGUAAAAUUGAGAACUUUCAGUGAGAAAGCAUGGCCCGCCUAUGAAACCUCAGUUUUAUUGUGGGACAGUUUUCCUGAAAUCUUUUCCAGCCAACUAUCUCAAAUUCAUUUACAACAAAUAUUUGGAGAAAGGUGCUGAGGACCCUUCUCUGGAGUUGGCCUCGGAGGCUCCAACUCUGGAAUCUAUUUGAACGGCUCAUUCCUGGCUCUGUAGCUCUGAAAAACCUCAGAGAAGCAAUUCUCCAAAGAGCACACGUGCAGCAAAAGAAAAGCCAAGGCAAAACAAAACAAAACAAAACAAAAUCCACGGAACUACUUGGAAGGCAGAUGUGAGCACCUGCAGAUGAAUUAUAAAAAAAUAAUAAAUUAUCUCUCCUAAUUGGCAAAACCUUCACUGAGACUCCCCAGCCUAGAAGGGGGCUCUUAGCACAAGGGGAGGGGCAAACUGGGCUCUGGUUUUCCUAAGAAGAGGCUGCGGACAAGAGAAACGGACCAAAUACAUACAGCUCAGAUGCGUCAUCAUUAUAGGAAAUCUUUAACAGUAACCUUUGGGGCAUAUUCACCGGGUGCAGGGCACUGUCUAGGACAUGUGGAAAGGCAGCAUGGAGACAGUCGGGAUGAGCUGAAACUCUGACCACGGGCAUGUGGGUCACGGAGGUGCCACGUGUUUACUCAGCUGUGCCCCAGCCCGUGAUGCUGCUGGGGAGGUCCUGCGUCCACUGAGAUGGAAAUGCACUCUGGCCCACAGCGACCGGAAUGUGAUGACAAACUGGAAACCUGCACAGAUUUUAUAAGCAAAGCUUCUGGCCUCUUCCCAAACGCCAGAGGUGCUUUCUUAGUCAGCUGAGUCAUUCAAGAGAAAGUCAGAUAAAAAGAGAAGGGUUUCAGCACUUCCUGGUUCUUUCUCUGGCUUGACUCUCAUCGGGACGUGCAGAAGCCCAACCUCUGAGAGUUCUCUUCGUGGAAGUCGUCACAGACUCAAAAGAAAUGCAGGGAAUAGGACACACUGAAAAACCUAAGUCUGCAAUUCUUAGGUUUUCAAAGCUCUACAGAAUCCGUUUAAAGCCUGAAAGAAUCAGGCUAAGUAGACAUUUUGUCAUAGCUACAAGAAGCAAGAGCUGCAUGUCCACAAUGACACAAAUAUGACCCAGGUGGUCAGUGGUCCAAGCAGGCACGUCCUUGCCAGCUCCCUGUGCGCCCCUGGCAUGGAUCACAGACCAGGCUGGCAGAGCCGGGGGUGGUCCGAGACCUGGGCACAGCCAUGUAAUCCCAUCCAAAGUGUGACAGCUGCUCACCCACUCAGCUGGCUCUCUGCCCCGUGACCAGGUCAGGAGUCCCUGUUCACCCACCCAGCCAAGGUGAUGCCGAACACCUGAGUGUUGUCAGGUGAGACAGAAGACCGUCUGUCACUGCGACGCAGGCAGCAGUGAUGCUGGAUCCCAAGAGCUGGGAGGCCACCCAGCAGGUCCACUUUCUGAAGGAAGCUUCUGCAGCGUGACAGGUCCUGGCCCCUGCCCGCCUGGCAGGGUAGAGGGUCAGCUUCCACAGGAAAAAUAAGGAAAUUAAGCAGAGGGGCCACUUCCUUUUUCAAAUGAUGUUAAAGAAAGUCAGCAUUUGGAGCUAUAUCUUCUUUCCCCAGCAUGGCCCAUUACUGUGAUUUGGCCUUAAAAUGGAUGGGAAGAAGCCAGCCCAUUUUGUGUAUGUCCUCUGAGCACUGCAAGUCUGCCAAGACACUUAGGGUCAGAUUCUUUGGAUUGGAGGUCCGGGAUUUGCAAGGGGACGUCCCCCCAUGUUGCAGUUGGCUCCAGCAUCAGAGUUCCCCUAAGGGGCUCCUGGAGGACUCUGUGCCAGCACCCACCCUGGUGACGGCAAAAUAACUGCAACUCCCCGCCCGACUGAGGCAUCAGGAAGGAUUUCUUCCCUGAGCACUGCUUCUGGGGUCUGUUACAGUCAGAUGAACGGCAGCAUCUUCGCCCCAUGUAGCGACGGGAGGGGAUCUGUCGGUGGAGGUGUGGGGUGUAGUAACAGGCUCCCUCCUGACUGUAGUGAGAAAAUAUUUUAACAGGAACAAGUCUGCUUUAAAUAUAACUUAGGUAGCAUUUCUCCCUGAAGGCUAUACAUUUCUUCUCCACAUUGUAAAUAUCUAAACAGAAUUUUUUAGUCUCUCUAUGACUUUCUUCA
Molecule: non-coding RNA, 2571 nt
Organism: Delphinapterus leucas (beluga whale)
Lineage: Eukaryota; Metazoa; Chordata; Mammalia; Artiodactyla; Monodontidae
Source: RefSeq, a predicted model, not a curated record